RNAcentral lists this ribosomal RNA (285 nucleotides) under uncultured archaeon SYA_2000_20. Its description in RNAcentral is "partial 16S ribosomal RNA". It matches the Rfam family "Archaeal small subunit ribosomal RNA", at positions 521 to 805 of the family's 1478-position model. The record is from RNAcentral.
GUAGCCGGCCGGAUAAGUCUCUUGGGAAAUCUGGCAGCUUAACUGUCAGGCUUUCAGUAGAUACUGUCUGGCUCGAGGCCGGGAGAGGUGAGAGGUACUUCAGGGGUAGGGGUGAAAUCUUGUAAUCCUUGAAGGACCACCAGUGGCGAAGGCGUCUCAACAGAACGGACCUGACGGCAAGGGACGAAAGCUAGGGGCACGAACCGGAUUAGAUACCCGGGUAGUCCUAGCCGUAAACGAUACUCGCUAGGUGUCGGCCACGGUGCGACCGUUGUCGGUGCCGUA